GGUAAAAUGGCUGAGCAAGCAUUAGCCUGUAAAUCUAAAGACAGAGGUUGUUUGGGUCCUCUUUUUGCCA
RNAcentral lists this transfer RNA (70 nucleotides) under Ailuropoda melanoleuca (giant panda). It matches the Rfam family "tRNA". From Rfam's summary of the family: Transfer RNA (tRNA) molecules are approximately 80 nucleotides in length. Their secondary structure includes four short double-helical elements and three loops (D, anti-codon, and T loops). Lineage: Eukaryota; Metazoa; Chordata; Mammalia; Carnivora; Ursidae. The record is from Rfam by way of RNAcentral.